UUUAUCCCCCUUUUUUACCCCCAAUUUUUAACCCCCUUUUUUUUCUCCCUCUUUUUUUAUUAAUCCCCUUUUCCCAGACAUUUGAAACCCCCAGUUUUCCUUUGCUCCUCCACCUCUUUCCUUCCACAAACCUUUUGAACACCCCAAAAGCGCUCCAGUUCUGCCUCAGGACUCGAACCUCCCAAAUUCUUUGGGAGCCAAAGGAUUUUUUCCCUUUCCAAAGGGGCCACAGCUGCUUUGGAGAGGCUGCAAUGAGGGGAAAAAAGCAAAUUUCAAAACGAAGAAUUCCGCCCUCAGCAGUGAAACAACGCUUCCUAAAGAGAAAGGAAAACAUUGUGCUGGAGCAGAGGGGAAAAAAAACAAACAACAACCCUGGAGUGUUUAUCACUGGAGUGCUGAAUUCCUGACAGAGCCCAGCUGUUCCCAAAUCCCUUUGCUCCCAAAAAAGGGCCGCGCUUCCCUUGCUGGAGCCUGACGUGGUCCUGCGAACGUCAGCAGCGGGAAGCUCCAAAACAAGUGACGUGGGAGCCCAAGCCUCCCACGGAGGGCACUGGAGCACAGCCACGCUUCCAAAGAUGGAGAUCCCAGCAGGAUUCCGGCACUGGGAGAGCCUCUGGAGCCCCGGGAAUGGCAGGGCUUCUGCUGGAGAUUCUCCUGGUUUUGUGGGGCUUGGCAGCAGGAGCCCGAUGACAGCGGCUCAGCACCGAGGGAAAAUGAGGAAUGAUGCAAGACGGCAGGAAUGGACAGUGGGAGACGGCAGCAUGGAAUCCUCACGGAAAAAAACUCUUCUGAGUGCUCAUAAAACAUCCCCGGGGACAAGAGAGCUGGGAGAGAGGAGCUUUCCGGGCUGUCCCAAACAGCAGGAAUGGCCUGAACUUCAUGGAUCUCCUGACCAAGGACUUUGGGAGUCCUGACCAAGAUCUGUUUCCUUUGAGAGGAGGGAAUUUGAAGAUUUUUAAAACUUUCUUGCCAUGAAUCUGACCCAAACCAGCUGCCAGGUAUUUGCUGUGCAUGGAGAGAGCGUGUGGAGGUGGAAUCCCUGUCCCUGGAGGUGUCUGAGGAGCUCCUGGAGGUGUCCGAGGGGCUCCUGGAGGUGUCCGAGGAGCUCCUGGAGGUGUCCGAGGAGCUCCUGGAGGUGUCUGAGGGGCUCCUGGAGGUGUCCAAGGAGCUCCUGGAGGUGGCCAAGGAGCUCCUGGGCUGAUGACAAGGUGGGGACGGGGCACAGCUUGGACUCCAUGAUCCUGGAGGGCUUUUCCAACCUCAGAGAUUUUGGGAUUCUAUUGCUGUACCUCCGGUGAUGAUGCUGGACCUUCAUCCAGGGCUUCCCACAGGAUGGAUCUCAUGGCAGCCAUCCCAAAUGUUCCGUUUAGAAAAAGAAGAAGAAAUUUGGGCCAGGCCAGCUCCCAAAUCCCUCUCCUGAGGCAGCUGAGUAGAUUUCAGCCCUUCCAGCAUUCCAAUCACCUCCUUGCCCCUGUUCCAGGAGCUCCAGCAGCUCCGUGUGCGCCCAGGGAAGGACGGACACGUGCUGGGAUGACACGAUGGGACAUCUGAGAUGGCCAAAAAGGACGAGUUUAUCUCUGCCAAGGCUCUGGGGUGCUCUGCUGUACGGAAUGGGAUUCCUGGGUGUGGAAAUAAAUGGAUUAAUGCUUCACCA
This 1654-nucleotide long non-coding RNA is filed under the name Parus major (Great Tit). Its description in RNAcentral is "lncRNA (ENSPMJG00000017521.1)". The record is from RNAcentral. Lineage: Eukaryota; Metazoa; Chordata; Aves; Passeriformes; Paridae.